This 68-nucleotide transfer RNA is filed under the name Marmota monax (woodchuck). Its description in RNAcentral is "tRNA.Ala". Lineage: Eukaryota; Metazoa; Chordata; Mammalia; Rodentia; Sciuridae. The record is from RNAcentral.
GGAUUGUGGCUCAGCGGUAGAGCACUCGCCUAGCAUGUGUGAGGCCCAGGGUUCAAUCCUCAGCACCA